RNAcentral lists this ribosomal RNA (497 nucleotides) under uncultured bacterium. RNAcentral's name for it is "partial 16S ribosomal RNA". It matches the Rfam family "Bacterial small subunit ribosomal RNA", at positions 28 to 507 of the family's 1533-position model. The record is from RNAcentral.
GAUGAACGCUGGCGGCGUGCCUAAUACAUGCAAGUCGAGCGAAAGGACGCGAAGCUUGCUUCUCUGAUGUUAGCGGCGGACGGGUGUGUAACACGUGGAUAACCUACCUAUAAGACUGGGAUAACUUCGGGAAACCGUAGCUAAUACCGGAUAAUCUUUUGAACCGCAUGGUUCAAUAGUGAAAGACGGUCUUGCUGUCACUUAUAGAUGGAUCCGCGCUGCAUUAGCUAGUUGUUAAGGUCACGGCUUACCAAGGCAACGAUGCGUAUCCGACCUGAGAGAGGGAUCGGCCACACUGGAGCGUAGACACGGUCCAUACUCCUACGGGAGGCAGCAGUAGGGAAUCGUCCGCAAUGGGCGAGAGCCUGACGGAGCAGCGCCGCGUGAGUUAUGAAAGUGUUCGGAUCGUAAAACUCUGUUAUUAGUUAAGAACAUAUGUGUAAGGAACUGUGCACAGCGUGACGGUACCUAGUCAGAAAGCCACGGCUAACUACGUG